Molecule: long non-coding RNA, 320 nt
Filed under: Phoenix dactylifera (date palm)
Lineage: Eukaryota; Viridiplantae; Streptophyta; Magnoliopsida; Arecales; Arecaceae
Description: long non-coding RNA (PDAC_LNC018888)
Source: RNAcentral
CACGUGAGGCAGUGGGAUGGACUCUUUCCAUCCGAAGAAGAAGGAAGAGCCCUGUUUUAGGGCUUCCUCCUCCUUCUCCUUCUCCUUUGAAUCCACCGAAGGAGAACCGCCGCACCCAAGGAAGAAAGGGGGGGAGGGUCUUCUUCAUGUUGCCGCCGAAAGAGAGAGGGAGAGAGAGGACCAUUGGGUUCGGUACGAGGGUCUUCUUCUUCUUCAUUGCCGUCGGAGAGGGGAAGGCGCCGGUCUUCGUCGGGGCUGAGGUAAGAGUCCCUCGCUUUCUUCUCCUCCUCUUCUGAUGCUUGGCCAUGAUGUGUUGUGGG